CCGGUGGAGUAACCAUUUGGAGCUAGCCGUCGAAGGUGGGACAAAUGAUUGGGGUGAAGUCGUAACAAGGUAGCCGUAUCGGAAGGUGCGGCUGGAUCACCUCCUUUCUAAGGA
Molecule: ribosomal RNA, 114 nt
Filed under: Staphylococcus epidermidis
Lineage: Bacteria; Bacillati; Bacillota; Bacilli; Caryophanales; Staphylococcaceae
Description: partial 16S ribosomal RNA
Rfam family: Bacterial small subunit ribosomal RNA
Source: RNAcentral